RNAcentral lists this transfer RNA (72 nucleotides) under Daphnia pulex (common water flea). RNAcentral's name for it is "tRNA-Val". The record is from RNAcentral. Lineage: Eukaryota; Metazoa; Arthropoda; Branchiopoda; Diplostraca; Daphniidae.
AAAUAAAGAGCUUGACUAGUUAAGCAACUCGUUUACAUCGAGUUUAUAUUUGUGCAAAUCAAAUUUUAUUUA